UUAACACACAGCCAGUCUGGGUGAAGUGAUAUUCCCUAAUCAGCUCCCAGAGUUGGUCCAGAGGACAUUGACUACCCAAGGUCAGCGGUAGACUCAGUCAUUCUUCCAAAAACAGUGUGUCCACUAGGUUAUUGGAAAACAGAUGGCUUCCCUUAGAGUGUCCGCUAGCCUGGAGUCUGACGUCGUUAUUAAGACUCAGAAACACUGUGUGUGUGUUAUUGGUCUAAGUUGCACCCAAAGAAUUAGGUUGUCAGUUGAUUUUCUUCAACAGCAGCCAAACUUUUUUUACACUGUCAAUAAUAAGGUACUCUCAGAAUUCAACUGUAACUCAAACUGUUAUCCAUUCAGGGAUGACUCCCAAAAGGUAGUUCCUUCUUCGUCUAGUGCGCUGUGGAGUGCUGCUGGUUGAGACACAUUUAUUCUUCACGUCUUUCAACGGUUGUUUUCACGAACAUGAGAUGGUACAGGUUUCCCGUUUUAAAGCGAAUAGAAGAUUGGAACCAGAGAAUCCUAUUCCAUCAGCCCAACUCUGCUUCUAAUGAUGUCAUUCUUCAUCUAUGCCAGUUGGGUCCGUAGAGAGAGUGGGCGCCAACAUAUUCGGAAGUUCAAAAACAAUGAUGUUUUGCAGUUUGGGGGCAUAUUAGGAGUGACCCCUUCCAGGAGGCCUUAUCCAAACAACAUCUAUUUCUUGGGAGGCAAAACAAUACGGAUCACAUGCUCUCCAGCACAGAAUAACACACUUGCAGGAAGCUAAGUAAGAGAAGUGUUUUGUCAGAAGAUGAUGAUGAUGUGGCUAUAGUAGUUUAAAAAAAAAGCAUUUCUGGGCGCUAUCAAUGUAAAUUGUUGCACUCUUUCAGACAACCAGAGUUCAGAGAACACUUCCAUAAUGUACCACAGUACAUUACAAGUCACAUAUGUUCAGUGAGUUCAAAAUGUUGACUCUCUUUUUCAACCAAUGUAUCGCCUGUUUACUAAACAAAACAUCUCAAUGGGUGGUCCAGGUAUGACAUGACAUGAUAUAGGAGGGGCCUUUACACUUUUGUUCUUUCAAGGAAGGGGGGAGCUGAUGACAUUAUGUUAAACUAAUAACUCCUUUAAUGGGCUUCUCCUUGCAGUUGUAUCAAAGAAAACAUUUUCAGUCUAAAACUGGUUGGUUUACUCUUGUUUUUUUUACCAUAUAAACAACAGAAAUGUAAAUAAACCUGUAUAGCCACAAAAUAUGGUACAGAAAAAUAUGAAAAUAUGUGCACUUACUACUGUACGUCAGUUUGGAUGGUCAGGCCUUGUUUUCAUAGCUCUGUCUGUCUCUAGAUCCAUAAUUCAGCUAUUUACCAAAACACAGAUUGGGUGACCACGUCGUUAUUGUUUAACAGUAGGAUCCAAGCUUUAAAGCCUGAAUCAUUAUUGGUGAAUCUGCCACAACCAAGUUACAGCAAACAACAAACACAGUUUAUUCCAUUCCUAACCACCCUUCACCAGCGAUAAAAUAGCAGCAUGUGAACCGUACAUAGUUUUCGGCACUGUGUUGUUAUUGUACUGGAUAAUUUUGUUUGUAGAGUACAUCGUUUUUUGUAAUGGAUAUAGUUCUUUGUACUGUAUGUUGUUUUUUUACUGAAUGUUGUUUUAUGUACUGUAUGUCGUUUUGUGUACUGUAUGUUAUUCUUUAUGCACUGCACAUAGUUUUUUGUACUGUACAUAGUUUUUUGCACUGCACAUAGUUUUUUGCACUGUACGUUGUUUUUGUACAGCAUGUUGUUUUUUGUACAGCAUGUUGAUUUUUGUACAGCAUGUUGUUCUGUACUCUGUUGUUUUUUGUACGGCACAUUAUAAUUUUUUUGUUACUGCAUGUUGUUUUUUGUACCGUUUGUUGUUUUUCGUGCUGGACGUUGUUUUGCGUUCUGUACUAAGUUUUUUGUACUCCCCUUUGUUUUGUGUCAUGUAAGUUGGUUUUUGUACAAAAUGUAGUUUUCACUUUAAUGCCCGACACUGGCAUGGUUUAUCAACCAAACUAAUGAGUGGAGUGUUACCAUUACUCUGGGACUCUGGGGACAUUUGUCUUUAGAAAACCUAUGAUUAAUAACUAGGCGUAAUUUUAUGAGACUCUGGGGCAAGGUGGGGGAGAGAUUGUGCUGCUGAAACAGUAGUGAGUUGGAUUCAAAUUCAUCCUGCAGCAGCCAGUGUGCCCUGGAGGCAACAACUUGGACCAUACAUACAGUGUUACAAUGUUCAGAUAUUGCUGUAGGGCACCUUUAUGCAUUUCACCGGCAUCAUGACAACUGUGAGAUGUGUCAGUUUUGGCCUGGUACUGGGUGUAUAAAUGUCGGAAGUUUCCAGAUUGUUUGGAUUUGCUGAGGGAAUUCCAUACAGUGAUGUAUCUGUGGAUGAGGAACGACGCAGAGGAAGAAAGGUACCAACAUGCAAUACUGGAUCAUUGGCACCAACUUUUUUAUUUUGUAUUUUUUUUACAAAGGACUGUUCCAGGCAUCUGGACAAGAGUUGCAAGACAAUGUUUCCCAAUGAAUUAGAACAAUGCAUCCAAAAGAAAUCAAAAAUGGAUUAAAUCGUUAAUAAAUGUAUCACAAGCCAUAGAAGGAAAUAUCUUUAAAACAUACAUUUAUUUACAGGGAAGCUGUAAAUCAAAUAGAUUUUACCAGGCCACAUUUGUCAGAGGGACAGGCAGAGCGAUGGGUCUGGAUAAAGAGAUGCUUUCACUGGGAUAGUCAGAGCUGAAACAGAGAGUUCUCUGGUCAGGAGCUGGCUGAGAGCAAUAAAUUGAAUGAAAACGGAACCAACUCAAAGGGGAAACUAUUCAUCCCAGCUCUAUAACUCUUCCUGCUCCUUUCCCUAUUAUAUUUUACAUCCAGCGUUGCGCUGAUUGCAUUAGCAGGCUCAUUGUGGCCUUGAAAGAACAAAGCCGUCAUAGCUGGAAAUGCAGCCAGGGCUAUGGAAGGCAACUCGGAGCUCUGGGCCGAUUCAGUGAUGGCCCCGGUCCACGGGAUGAGAAAUGGCCCCAAAGUCUUGACACGGCACAGACAUGUCCAGCUUAAUGAUGACAUUUUCAAAGGGAGGACGACAUCCUCUAAAGCCACAGACCUGAGCAAGCAUAGAGGCCACAGUUUGUGGAAUAUGUGGUGGCGAGACACUAGUCCGUUACAGACCGACACACUGCCUCAGAUUCCCUGGGCACAGAUGAAGUCUUGGUUUCCCAAACCCGCUCUGCCGCACCCACGACCAGACAGAACUCUUGAUCGCAAGCUGAAUGUGCAAGAGUGACGAGAUAUUAAGGUUUUGUCUUUGUAAACACUAAGUGAAAAUGGUGGGGGAGUGUCCUUUCAUCAUUAGAAAUGCUGUUACCUUAAGUUCCUACAGCAUCCACUUAGGUACACUUAGCCUUACUGUAUGUGAUUAAAUAAAGAUGCUUGAAAUUC
Long non-coding RNA from Esox lucius (northern pike), 3428 nucleotides. Lineage: Eukaryota; Metazoa; Chordata; Actinopteri; Esociformes; Esocidae. The record is from Ensembl.